AUGCAUCAGCUCCUUUUGUGUCAAAUGUUUCAUUGUAACAGCCAGUGCAAACUUGAACAAUGUGUGCUUAUAUUUAACUAUCAAUACACUGGUAGUUAUUUUCUUUAUUCUAUAUACUCAGUUCUUGAUGAAAUUAAAUGCCUCUAUUUGUGCCUUUUUUGUUGUUUGCCUGCGUUUAGAAGUGCAAACUUCCAAGCUAAUAUCCUUUAA
This 210-nucleotide ribosomal RNA is filed under the name Triticum aestivum (bread wheat). RNAcentral's name for it is "partial small subunit ribosomal RNA". Lineage: Eukaryota; Viridiplantae; Streptophyta; Magnoliopsida; Poales; Poaceae. The record is from RNAcentral.